AACCUUUACACUGCACGACAGUGCGAUAGGGGGGCUCCGAGUGCGAGGGCAUAGAGCCCUCGCUUUUGUACACCGUAAGGUGGUGUACGAAUAAGAACUGGGCAAGACCGGUGCCAGCCGCCGCGGUAAUACCGGCAGUUCGAGUGAUGGCCGAUUUUAUUGGGCCUAAAGCGUUCGUAGCUGGCCGAUCAAGUCUGUCGGGAAAUCUGCUCGCCUAACGAGCAGGCGUCCGGCGGAAACUGAUCGGCUUGGGACCGGAAGACUCGAGGGGUACGUCCGGGGUAGGAGUGAAAUCCUGUAAUCCUGGACGGACCACCGAUGGCGAAAGCACCUCGAGAGCACGGAUCCGACAGUGAGGAACGAAAGCUGGGGUCUCGAACCGGAUUAGAUACCCGGGUAGUCCCAGCUGUCAACGAUGCCCGCUAGGUAUGGCGCAGGCUACGAGCCUGUGCUAUGCCGUAGCGAAGGCGCUAAGCGGGCCGCCUGGGAAGUACGUUCGCAAGAAUGAAACUUAA
This 515-nucleotide ribosomal RNA is filed under the name uncultured archaeon. RNAcentral's name for it is "bacterial SSU rRNA". It matches the Rfam family "Archaeal small subunit ribosomal RNA", at positions 345 to 859 of the family's 1478-position model. The record is from RNAcentral.